RNAcentral lists this ribosomal RNA (434 nucleotides) under uncultured Candidatus Criblamydia sp. RNAcentral describes it as "bacterial SSU rRNA". It matches the Rfam family "Bacterial small subunit ribosomal RNA", at positions 958 to 1393 of the family's 1533-position model. Lineage: Bacteria; Pseudomonadati; Chlamydiota; Chlamydiia; Parachlamydiales; Candidatus Criblamydiaceae. The record is from RNAcentral.
AACGCGAAGAACCUUACCUGGAUUUGACAUACUUCUGCACGGCCUGUGAAAGCAGGCUUCCUUCGAGGGUGAAGUACAGGUGCUGCAUGGCUGUCGUCAGUUCGUGCCGUGAGGUGUUUGGUUAAGUCCACCAACGAACGCAACCCCUUUGCGAUGUUGCCAGCGGGUCAUGCCGGGAACUCGUCGCAUACUGCUCGUUUACACGAGAGGAAGGUGGGGAUGACGUCAAGUCAGUAUGGCCCUUACAUCCAGGGCUGCACACGUGCUACAAUGGCCGGUACAGAGCGAAGCGAGACCGCAAGGUGGAGCGAAUCGCACAGAGCCGGCCUCAGUUCAGAUUGGGGUCUGCAACCCGACCCCAUGAAGUCGGAUUUGCUAGUAACGGCGUAUCAGCUACGACGCCGUGAAUGCGUUCCCGGGUCUUGUACACACGC